This is a long non-coding RNA of Macadamia integrifolia, 1359 nucleotides long. RefSeq lists it as uncharacterized. The transcript is spliced from 3 exons. NCBI's taxonomy places the organism in Eukaryota, Viridiplantae, Streptophyta, Magnoliopsida, Proteales, Proteaceae. The record is from RefSeq and is a predicted model, not a curated record.
UUUUCACCCACGGCCAUUAGAUAUUAUGGUUUUAAUAUUUUCGGUUUUAAUAGACGCAUUGUCACUGUUAUUAUUUUCUUCAUCUUCUCGCCAUUUUAUGUUUUGCAGCUACAUAAUUCUUGUUCUUUUUGGGCAAAAAGUUUGAAUUCUUGGGGAGAUCAGGUCAUUAAGGAACAACAAUUUACAAAAUGAGAUUUUUCGGAAGCAGUAUGUUUUCUAGAAUGUUAACCAAGAAAACUUCUAUUAUCUUAUGCCAUAUGCAUACCUACUGAUGAUGUGAACCUUUUUGUAGGAAGUAAUCUUUAUGCAGGUAAAUAUCAUGCUGAUAAAUACUUAGGUUUCUGCAUUAGUUGGGGUUCUUCCUUGCAAUUCUGUAUUGUUCACUUUUUCUUUUUUUAGUUCAGUUAAAGUCAGUUUUAAUAUGCAAUAAUUCUUUGUACUAUUGAUAUGCCACAUUGAAUAUGGAGUCUUGCUUGGAUGGAAUAUAACAUGUUAAAGUCAGUUUUAAUAUGCAUGUACAUUUUCUUCAUGUUCUAAUUCAUUCUUCCUUUAAUAUCCCAUUUUGCAUCAUUGAGAGUCUUCAUUUUUAUGUAGGUUGCGUCAUAUGUUAUAACAAUUCCAAUGCAGCAGUUUCCCACUUCUUCAUGGUUUUAAAUGAUUUUGUUGGCCAUGUCCAUGAUAUUAACACUAACCAUUCACUUUGUCUCUUGUGAGAAUAGGUGUUGGGCUGAUGCCAGGUCUUGGCCCAUGAACCCAGGUCUUGAUCCCAAUAACAGGAAGCCUCACAGAUUCUUUGGAAAGAUAGGACUGCAUCAAUGAGGAUUGAGGAAAGGUGAGGUUAUACUUUCUACGAAAUUUCCAAUGGUCAGAAUCUACUUCUUGGAGAAACAACUUGAGGUUCUCUGCUACAGGAGUUGCAGGCAAUCCAUUUUAAACUCUUGUACCUCGCAAUUUUUUUUUUUUCAAAUGGUUAUCCUUUACAUUUUACAUGCACUUUUUCUUUGGGCCUAUAUAUAGUAUGCAAUGCUUUGAGAAACAGAGGCAAUGACAAAUAAAUACUGUGUCUGUGUUGCACCAAAUAAAUUCUUUACAUUGUCUUCUUUAUGAUUCUCAAGGUUUUGAUAUUGAGCAGUUUCAGUGGAGAGCGGAUCAAAUCCUCGUAUGGGAAUCAUUCUCGUAUGAUGUUUGAUUUACAUAUGGAACUCCACUUAGAAAAAAGACCAAUUAAAAGAAGAGAGAGAUUAAGUGGAGUCCAUAUGUAAAUCAAACACCGUACGAGAAUGAUUCUCGUACAAGGACUUGAUCCACACUCGUUUCAAAGGUGGAACUUUUUUUUUUUUUAAUUUUUUUAUUGCAAUG